CCUANGGGGGGCAGCAGUGGGGAAUUUUGGACAAUGGGGGCAACCCUGAUCCAGCCAUUCCGCGUGAGUGAAGAAGGCCUUCGGGUUGUAAAGCUCUUUCAGCAGGAACGAAACGGUGGCUACUAAUACUAGCUACUAAUGACGGUACCUGAAGAAGAAGCACCGGCUAACUCCGUGCCAGCAGCCGCGGUAAUACGGAGGGUGCGAGCGUUGUUCGGAAUUACUGGGCGUAAAGCGCGUGUAGGCGGCCUUGCAAGUCAGGCGUGAAAGCCCUCGGCUUAACCGGGGAAGUGCGUCUGAAACUGCUUGGCUUGAGUACGGGAGAGGGAGGCGGAAUUCCCAGUGUAGAGGUGAAAUUCGUAGAUAUUGGGAGGAACACCGGUGGCGAAAGCGGCCUCCUGGACCGAUACUGACGCUGAGACGCGAAAGCGUGGGGAGCAAACAGGAUUAGAUACCCUUNUANUC
RNAcentral lists this ribosomal RNA (465 nucleotides) under uncultured bacterium. Its description in RNAcentral is "bacterial SSU rRNA". It matches the Rfam family "Bacterial small subunit ribosomal RNA", at positions 338 to 795 of the family's 1533-position model. The record is from RNAcentral.